Non-coding RNA from Zea mays, 188 nucleotides. The record is from Rfam. Lineage: Eukaryota; Viridiplantae; Streptophyta; Magnoliopsida; Poales; Poaceae.
AUAUCUUUCUCGGUCUUUUGACUAAGACAAAAUGUCAUAUUUGUUCUUGUCAGUUUAAUAUAUGAUAUAUGGAUCAUAUAUUUACUUUGAUAUUAUAUUUAUCUUUUAUAGGUAUAUAAGAUAUGGGUGUGUGUCGUCGCAACGUACGUACGAGUAUUGGUACUAGUUACUCCCUUUGUUCCAAUUUA